GCGGAGGGAUCAUUACUGAGUUACCGCUCUACAACCCUUUGUGAACAUACCUUAACUGUUGCUUCGGCGGGCAGGAGGACAACCCCCCUCGGGGGGCGGUCCCCCUCCCGGCCGCGCCCUCACGGGCGUGGCGCCCGCCGGAGGAUACCAAAACUCUAUUUUAACGACGUUUCUUCUGAGUGGCACAAGCAAAUAAUUAAAACUUUUAACAACGGAUCUCUUGGUUCUGGCAUCGAUGAAGAACGCAGCGAAAUGCGAUAAGUAAUGUGAAUUGCAGAAUUCAGUGAAUCAUCGAAUCUUUGAACGCACAUUGCGCCCGCCAGCAUUCUGGCGGGCAUGCCUGUUCGAGCGUCAUUUCAACCCUCAAGCCCAGCUUGGUGUUGGGGCCCUACGGUCGACGUAGGCCCUUAAAGGUAGUGGCGGACCCUCCCGGAGCCUCCUUUGCGUAGUAACUUAACGUCUCGCACUGGGAUCCGGAGGGACUCUUGCCGUAAAACCCCCAAAACUUUUACAGGUUGACCUCGGAUCAGGUAGGAAUACCCGCUGAACUUAAGCAUAU
This 559-nucleotide ribosomal RNA is filed under the name Colletotrichum destructivum. Its description in RNAcentral is "eukaryotic LSU rRNA". The stretch from base 201 to 354 matches the Rfam family "5.8S ribosomal RNA". The record is from RNAcentral. Lineage: Eukaryota; Fungi; Ascomycota; Sordariomycetes; Glomerellales; Glomerellaceae.